RNAcentral lists this ribosomal RNA (232 nucleotides) under uncultured bacterium. RNAcentral describes it as "partial 16S ribosomal RNA". It matches the Rfam family "Bacterial small subunit ribosomal RNA", at positions 118 to 348 of the family's 1533-position model. The record is from RNAcentral.
UGAGGAACAUGACCUUCGGCGGGGGAGUAGCCGGCCCAACGGCCGGGUAAUACCGCGUACGACCACAUGGGGACAUCCCUGAGUGGUGAAAGCAGCAAUGCGCCGAUGGAGUGCCUCGCGGCCUAUCAGCUAGUUGGUGAGGUAACGGCUCACCAAGGCGACGACGGGUAGCUGGUCUGAGAGGAUGGCCAGCCACAUUGGGACUGAGACACGGCCCAGACUCUACGGGAGG